UAAGGAAUAUUGGUCAAUGGAGGCAACUCUGAACCAGCCAUGCCGCGUGGAGGAUGAAGGCCCUCUGGGUUGUAAACUUCUUUUAUAAGGGAAGAAAUGCAGACAUUCUUGUUUGUUUGACGGUACCUUAGGAAUAAGCACCGGCUAACUCCGUGCCAGCAGCCGCGGUAAUACGGAGGGUGCAAGCGUUAUCCGGAUUCACUGGGUUUAAAGGGUGCGUAGGCGGGCAGGUAAGUCAGUGGUGAAAUCUUCGAGCUUAACUCGGAAACUGCCGUUGAUACUAUCUGUCUUGAAUACUCGGGAGGUGAGCGGAAUAUGUCAUGUAGCGGUGAAAUGCUUAGAUAUGACAUAGAACACCAAUUGCGAAGGCAGCUCACUACAGAGUCAUUGACGCUGAGGCACGAAAGCGUGGGGAUCAAACAG
RNAcentral lists this ribosomal RNA (423 nucleotides) under uncultured bacterium. Its description in RNAcentral is "bacterial SSU rRNA". It matches the Rfam family "Bacterial small subunit ribosomal RNA", at positions 355 to 775 of the family's 1533-position model. The record is from RNAcentral.